AACGAACGCUGGCGGCAUGCCUAACACAUGCAAGUCGAACGAGACCUUCGUGUCUAGUGGCGCACAGGUGCGUCACGCGUCGGAACCUGCACUUAGGCUCCGAAUAACACUCCGUCGGGGGUGCUAAUACCGGGAAAUUUCUGCUGAUACAAGAUAGAACGCGUUUGGAUGGGCGCGAGUUGGCUUGACUAGUUGCGAUGGUAAAAGCCUAUCAAGGCUACGCUCCAUAGCUGGUCUGAGAGGCUGAUCAGCCACACUUGGGCUGAGACACGGCGCAGACUCCUACGGGAGGCAGCAGUGGCGGAUAUUGGACUAUCGGGGAAAGGCUGAACCAGCUAUGCUUCGUAAGUGAUUAAGUUCUUAGAGUUGUACAGCUCUUUUACCCCGGAUGAUAAUGACAGUACCGGGAGAAUAAGCACCGGCUAACUCCGUG
Molecule: ribosomal RNA, 433 nt
Filed under: uncultured bacterium
Lineage: Bacteria
Description: partial 16S ribosomal RNA
Rfam family: Bacterial small subunit ribosomal RNA
Source: RNAcentral